UAUGUGAUCGUCUCUCGCAUAUCAAUAAGCGGAGGAAAAGAAACUAACAAGGAUUCCCCUAGUAACGGCGAGUGAAGCGGGAAGAGCUCAAAUUUGAAAUCUUAAAGGGUUUCCCUUUACGAAUUGUAGUUUAAAGAAGUGUUUUCUGUUGAGGUUUUGGUAAAAGUUCUUUGGAAUAGGACAUCAUAGAGGGUGAGAAUCCCGUAUUUGACCAUUACUUUUCAACUUUGUGAUACACUUUCAAAGAGUCGGAUUGUUUGGGAAUGCAGUCCAAAAUGGGUGGUAAAUUUCAUCUAAAGCUAAAUAUUGGCGAGAGACCGAUAGCGAACAAGUACCGUGAGGGAAAGAUGAAAAGAACUUUGAAAAGAGAGUUAAACAGUACGUGAAAUUGUCAAAAGGGAAGCGUUUGACACCAGUGUUGUUUUUCUGAAAAUCAAUUAAAGAACUGUUUAUGCUAAGUUGUUUAGACUUUAUCAGCUAUCUGUUUAGUUUUGAGCUUUUCUUUAAUGCACUUUUCAGUUAACAAGUCAACAUCAAUUUCUUUUGCUGUAAAAAAGCUUGAGGAAGGUGGCUUGAGAUUCGUCUUAAGUGUUUAUAGCCUCUUGCCUAUGCAGUCGGAGAGAUUGAGGUCUGCAGCGUAGAUCCUUCGGGGCUAAAUGCAUUUGUGCUAAGUUAUAGCAUUUUAUAGACAACUUGUUGACUAUGAUUUGUCUUGUAGCUUACUCGCUUAUGUUAUUUUACCUACGCUUAGGAUGUUGACUGAUAUGUAGUCGU
Molecule: ribosomal RNA, 774 nt
Filed under: uncultured Neocallimastigales
Lineage: Eukaryota; Fungi; Neocallimastigomycota; Neocallimastigomycetes; Neocallimastigales
Description: partial large subunit ribosomal RNA
Rfam family: Eukaryotic large subunit ribosomal RNA
Source: RNAcentral